Non-coding RNA from Caenorhabditis elegans, 21 nucleotides. The record is from Ensembl. NCBI's taxonomy places the organism in Eukaryota, Metazoa, Nematoda, Chromadorea, Rhabditida, Rhabditidae.
UAUGAAAGGAUACAGCUGCGC